UCUGGUGAAUAUGACGGAGAGGUCACACCCGUUCCCAUUCCGAACACGGCAGUUAAGCUCUCCAGUGCCGAUGAUACUUGGACGGAAGCGUCCCGGGAAAGUAGGUCUUCGCCAGAU
RNAcentral lists this ribosomal RNA (117 nucleotides) under Clostridia bacterium. Lineage: Bacteria; Bacillati; Bacillota; Clostridia. The record is from RNAcentral.